Long non-coding RNA from Aphis gossypii (cotton aphid), 825 nucleotides. RefSeq lists it as uncharacterized. The transcript is spliced from 3 exons. The record is from RefSeq and is a predicted model, not a curated record. Lineage: Eukaryota; Metazoa; Arthropoda; Insecta; Hemiptera; Aphididae.
AUAGAAAUUAAAGGAGUCAAAAUUAAAUAAAUAUCGAUAAAAAAGAGCAGUUUUACAAUUGUAUAUAUUAUAUAACAAUAAGUUGGCUUGAAUGACUUUUGUCGUCAACUGUCGUUAAGAAGUUAUUUUUGCAAAUAUUUCAGUAAACAAACAACUAUUAUACAUUAUUUAUUAUUGAGAAAUUGUUCCAAAAUGUACAAAGAGCACACCAUAAUAGAGAUGGACCAUUCGGAAAUUGUGAUGAAUCGUGGUCAUUCAAAGAAGACAAUUAUUAUGAUAGUAAUGUCGAUCUUAUUAUGUUGAUGUGUGUUAUCAACAGCAAUUGUUGUAGUAGAAUUAAAAAAAAACAAGAACCAAAGAACAUAAACAGGGAAUUUAAUAAUUUAACAAAUUUCAAUUUAUUCGAAUUAAUCGAUGAAAUAAAAAAAAUGAAUAUGUCAAUUGACUAUAGUCAAGAUAUCAGUAUCAGAACACGUGAUGUGUCAAAAAUUGAUACAGCUGUAGACGCAGCAUCCAUUUUGGUUGGCAUCAUACAGACAUAUUUAGGUAAAAAAGAGCAAAAUCAGAUCCACGUCAAAAAAAAAAACGAGUUCAAAAUCAUAAUUAAUAUGCAAUAUAUAGGUAUAAAUGUAUAAUACUAUAUAUAUUUUUUUUAAUUGCAUUUUUCACAUUUUGAAUGAUUACAUUGAUGAUUAUUAAUAUUUAUAUUAACACUUGGGUCUUGGACGUGAAUCUGAUUUCUGCUCUUUUUUACCCAAAUAUGACUGUAUGAUGCCAACCAAAAUGGAUGCUGCUUCUAUAGCUGUAGAAAUUGUGUUGUUUAUA